GGUUAAGCGACUAAGCGUACACGGUGGAUGCCCUGGCAGUCAGAGGCGAUGAAGGACGUGCUAAUCUGCGAUAAGCGUCGGUAAGGUGAUAUGAACCGUUAUAACCGGCGAUUUCCGAAUGGGGAAACCCAGUGUGUUUCGACACACUAUCAUUAACUGAAUCCAUAGGUUAAUGAGGCGAACCGGGGGAACUGAAACAUCUAAGUACCCCGAGGAAAAGAAAUCAACCGAGAUUCCCCCAGUAGCGGCGAGCGAACGGGGAGCAGCCCAGAGCCUGAAUCAGUGUGUGUGUUAGUGGAAGCGUCUGGAAAGGCGCGCGAUACAGGGUGACAGCCCCGUACACAAAAAUGCACAUGCUGUGAGCUCGAUGAGUAGGGCGGGACACGUGGUAUCCUGUCUGAAUAUGGGGGGACCAUCCUCCAAGGCUAAAUACUCCUGACUGACCGAUAGUGAACCAGUACCGUGAGGGAAAGGCGAAAAGAACCCCGGCGAGGGGAGUGAAAAAGAACCUGAAACCGUGUACGUACAAGCAGUGGGAGCACGCUUCGGCGUGUGACUGCGUACCUUUUGUAUAAUGGGUCAGCGACUUAUAUUCUGUAGCAAGGUUAACCGAAUAGGGGAGCCGAAGGGAAACCGAGUCUUAACUGGGCGUUAAGUUGCAGGGUAUAGACCCGAAACCCGGUGAUCUAGCCAUGGGCAGGUUGAAGGUUGGGUAACACUAACUGGAGGACCGAACCGACUAAUGUUGAAAAAUUAGCGGAUGACUUGUGGCUGGGGGUGAAAGGCCAAUCAAACCGGGAGAUAGCUGGUUCUCCCCGAAAGCUAUUUAGGUAGCGCCUCGUGAAUUCAUCUCCGGGGGUAGAGCACUGUUUCGGCAAGGGGGUCAUCCCGACUUACCAACCCGAUGCAAACUGCGAAUACCGGAGAAUGUUAUCACGGGAGACACACGGCGGGUGCUAACGUCCGUCGUGAAGAGGGAAACAACCCAGACCGCCAGCUAAGGUCCCAAAGUCAUGGUUAAGUGGGAAACGAUGUGGGAAGGCCCAGACAGCCAGGAUGUUGGCUUAGAAGCAGCCAUCAUUUAAAGAAAGCGUAAUAGCUCACUGGUCGAGUCGGCCUGCGCGGAAGAUGUAACGGGGCUAAACCAUGCACCGAAGCUGCGGCAGCGACGCUUAUGCGUUGUUGGGUAGGGGAGCGUUCUGUAAGCCUGUGAAGGUGUGCUGUGAGGCAUGCUGGAGGUAUCAGAAGUGCGAAUGCUGACAUAAGUAACGAUAAAGCGGGUGAAAAGCCCGCUCGCCGGAAGACCAAGGGUUCCUGUCCAACGUUAAUCGGGGCAGGGUGAGUCGACCCCUAAGGCGAGGCCGAAAGGCGUAGUCGAUGGGAAACAGGUUAAUAUUCCUGUACUUGGUGUUACUGCGAAGGGGGGACGGAGAAGGCUAUGUUGGCCGGGCGACGGUUGUCCCGGUUUAAGCGUGUAGGCUGGUUUUCCAGGCAAAUCCGGAAAAUCAAGGCUGAGGCGUGAUGACGAGGCACUACGGUGCUGAAGCAACAAAUGCCCUGCUUCCAGGAAAAGCCUCUAAGCAUCAGGUAACAUCAAAUCGUACCCCAAACCGACACAGGUGGUCAGGUAGAGAAUACCAAGGCGCUUGAGAGAACUCGGGUGAAGGAACUAGGCAAAAUGGUGCCGUAACUUCGGGAGAAGGCACGCUGAUAUGUAGGUGAAGUCCCUCGCGGAUGGAGCUGAAAUCAGUCGAAGAUACCAGCUGGCUGCAACUGUUUAUUAAAAACACAGCACUGUGCAAACACGAAAGUGGACGUAUACGGUGUGACGCCUGCCCGGUGCCGGAAGGUUAAUUGAUGGGGUCAGCGCAAGCGAAGCUCUUGAUCGAAGCCCCGGUAAACGGCGGCCGUAACUAUAACGGUCCUAAGGUAGCGAAAUUCCUUGUCGGGUAAGUUCCGACCUGCACGAAUGGCGUAAUGAUGGCCAGGCUGUCUCCACCCGAGACUCAGUGAAAUUGAACUCGCUGUGAAGAUGCAGUGUACCCGCGGCAAGACGGAAAGACCCCGUGAACCUUUACUAUAGCUUGACACUGAACAUUGAGCCUUGAUGUGUAGGAUAGGUGGGAGGCUUUGAAGUGUGGACGCCAGUCUGCAUGGAGCCGACCUUGAAAUACCACCCUUUAAUGUUUGAUGUUCUAACGUUGACCCGUAAUCCGGGUUGCGGACAGUGUCUGGUGGGUAGUUUGACUGGGGCGGUCUCCUCCUAAAGAGUAACGGAGGAGCACGAAGGUUGGCUAAUCCUGGUCGGACAUCAGGAGGUUAGUGCAAUGGCAUAAGCCAGCUUGACUGCGAGCGUGACGGCGCGAGCAGGUGCGAAAGCAGGUCAUAGUGAUCCGGUGGUUCUGAAUGGAAGGGCCAUCGCUCAACGGAUAAAAGGUACUCCGGGGAUAACAGGCUGAUACCGCCCAAGAGUUCAUAUCGACGGCGGUGUUUGGCACCUCGAUGUCGGCUCAUCACAUCCUGGGGCUGAAGUAGGUCCCAAGGGUAUGGCUGUUCGCCAUUUAAAGUGGUACGCGAGCUGGGUUUAGAACGUCGUGAGACAGUUCGGUCCCUAUCUGCCGUGGGCGCUGGAGAACUGAGGGGGGCUGCUCCUAGUACGAGAGGACCGGAGUGGACGCAUCACUGGUGUUCGGGUUGUCAUGCCAAUGGCACUGCCCGGUAGCUAAAUGCGGAAGAGAUAAGUGCUGAAAGCAUCUAAGCACGAAACUUGCCCCGAGAUGAGUUCUCCCUGACUCCUUGAGAGUCCUGAAGGAACGUUGAAGACGACGACGUUGAUAGGCCGGGUGUGUAAGCGCAGCGAUGCGUUGAGCUAACCGGUACUAAUGAACCGUGAGGCUUAACCUU
RNAcentral lists this ribosomal RNA (2904 nucleotides) under Escherichia coli. RNAcentral describes it as "23S ribosomal RNA". It matches the Rfam family "Bacterial large subunit ribosomal RNA". Lineage: Bacteria; Pseudomonadati; Pseudomonadota; Gammaproteobacteria; Enterobacterales; Enterobacteriaceae. The record is from RNAcentral.